Molecule: non-coding RNA, 250 nt
Organism: Poecilia reticulata (guppy)
Lineage: Eukaryota; Metazoa; Chordata; Actinopteri; Cyprinodontiformes; Poeciliidae
Source: RefSeq, a predicted model, not a curated record
UAGCAGGGACCCAAGAUGGCUGCCACAGAAAACACACCCAAAUGACGUGGCUCCCGGCCAGCCAGCUGUAUAACCAAACCCUUCAGUUCCACUAUAUUGACGGAUGCUACUUCUAGCCGUACUUGGAGGAGCUGAAGAGGCAUUUGGAGUUAACAACGAACAAGGCCUUGGAUUCCCAAAGGCCUGUGUGGACCAGCUGCUGUAUGUGGGAUCCUGCAGCAUCUCUACUGCCUUAGUCUGAUCCACGAAA